UACGUAGGGGGCGAGCGUUGUCCGGAUUUACUGGGCGUAAAGGGCGCGCAGGUGGCCUGGUCAGUCCGUCGUGAAAGCCUCGGGCUCAACUCGGGGUGGUCGGCGGGGACGGCGAGGCUUUAGAGGCCGGUAGAGGAGCACGGAAUUCCCGGUGUAGUGGUGAAAUGCGUAGAGAUCGGGAGGAACACCAGUGGCGAAGGCGGUGCUCUGGGCCGAGCCUGACGCUGAGGCGCGAAAGCUAGGGGAGCAAACGGG
This 255-nucleotide ribosomal RNA is filed under the name uncultured bacterium. RNAcentral's name for it is "partial 16S ribosomal RNA". It matches the Rfam family "Bacterial small subunit ribosomal RNA", at positions 524 to 776 of the family's 1533-position model. The record is from RNAcentral.